RNAcentral lists this ribosomal RNA (524 nucleotides) under Salmonella enterica. RNAcentral's name for it is "bacterial SSU rRNA". It matches the Rfam family "Bacterial small subunit ribosomal RNA", at positions 998 to 1522 of the family's 1533-position model. Lineage: Bacteria; Pseudomonadati; Pseudomonadota; Gammaproteobacteria; Enterobacterales; Enterobacteriaceae. The record is from RNAcentral.
UCUCAGAGAUGAGACUGUGCCUUCGGGAGCCGUGAGACAGGUGCUGCAUGGCUGUCGUCAGCUCGUGUUGUGAAAUGUUGGGUUAAGUCCCGCAACGAGCGCAACCCUUAUCCUUUGUUGCCAGCGAUUAGGUCGGGAACUCAAAGGAGACUGCCAGUGAUAAACUGGAGGAAGGUGGGGAUGACGUCAAGUCAUCAUGGCCCUUACGACCAGGGCUACACACGUGCUACAAUGGCGCAUACAAAGAGAAGCGACCUCGCGAGAGCAAGCGGACCUCAUAAAGUGCGUCGUAGUCCGGAUUGGAGUCUGCAACUCGACUCCAUGAAGUCGGAAUCGCUAGUAAUCGUGGAUCAGAAUGCCACGGUGAAUACGUUCCCGGGCCUUGUACACACCGCCCGUCACACCAUGGGAGUGGGUUGCAAAAGAAGUAGGUAGCUUAACCUUCGGGAGGGCGCUUACCACUUUGUGAUUCAUGACUGGGGUGAAGUCGUAACAAGGUAACCGUAGGGGAACCUGCGGUUGGA